CCGAGUUUUCAACUCCCAAACCCCUGUGAACAUACCUAUCGUUGCUUCGGCGGGCCGCUCCAGGGCGCCCGUCGGGGACACCAAACUCUUGUUUUUACAAAUGUAUCUUCUGAGUGGCGUAAAGCAAAAAUAUAUCA
RNAcentral lists this unclassified non-coding RNA (137 nucleotides) under uncultured Nectriaceae. RNAcentral's name for it is "sequence contains ITS1". Lineage: Eukaryota; Fungi; Ascomycota; Sordariomycetes; Hypocreales; Nectriaceae. The record is from RNAcentral.